UACAGAGGUCUCAAGCGUUGCUCGGAAUCACUGGGCGUAAAGGGUGCGUAGGCGGGUCUUUAAGUCAGGGGUGAAAUCCUGGAGCUCAACUCCAGAACUGCCUUUGAUACUGAAGAUCUUGAGUUCGGGAGAGGUGAGUGGAACUGCGAGUGUAGAGGUGAAAUUCGUAGAUAUUCGCAAGAACACCAGUGGCGAAGGCGGCUCACUGGGCCGAAAUUGACGCUGAGGAGCGAAAGCGUGGGGAGCAAACAGG
This 253-nucleotide ribosomal RNA is filed under the name uncultured bacterium. RNAcentral's name for it is "partial 16S ribosomal RNA". It matches the Rfam family "Bacterial small subunit ribosomal RNA", at positions 524 to 776 of the family's 1533-position model. The record is from RNAcentral.